Silurus meridionalis is the source of this 754-nucleotide long non-coding RNA. RefSeq lists it as uncharacterized. Lineage: Eukaryota; Metazoa; Chordata; Actinopteri; Siluriformes; Siluridae. The record is from RefSeq and is a predicted model, not a curated record. The transcript has 4 exons.
AUUUGAAUUUUUAUGAACAGAUGUAGGAGACAGAAGAAAAGGCAGAUGAAGGUGAUCAUCAGAACAUUGGGCUGAGUGCUAAAGACGACACGUAUGCAGCUCUCGACCCUGCAGGCCGGAAAUCUGAUGAUGUUUAUCACACACUUGCAGUUUCUCAUGCCAGUCCUCCUGAUGACACGCUCACUUCUGACUACUGCAAUAAGGAAACUUUGAGAAACAUAAUGAAGAAAAUGAGUCCUGAAACAGCUGAUGAAUAGAAAAAACUAACUGAACUCCUCACUCAAGUGGAGAAGCUGAAUCACUUCUUUACACCAGCAAAUAAUAUAUAUAUUUUUUUCAUUCCAAUCUAGUGUGUGUGUGUGUGUGUGUGUGUGUGUGUGUGUGUGUGUGUGUGUGUGUGUUUGCUAUUUUAAGUGCUAGUUUAAUAUGUUGACAUGGAGUUACUGUUACCACCUUAAAAUACUUGCUAAACUAAUCUGAAUUACUCCAAAACAAAUCUAUGAUAAACUCUUAAGUUCUGCUCUCCUGCAUUUGUCUCAGGUGAUGUUAGUGACUACAUGAAGAACAGAUAUGAUCUUUAAAGUGCCAUUAGAGCUGCCAAAAUGCAACUCAGACUGGAGUGUCACUACACCACCACUGACCCCUGGCACAUGUAGCAGGAAUUACAGAAUAUCAGUCUUUCAAUGCAGAUAGUGUGUGUUUUGUUAGCAACAUGCUAGUCAUGUAUAACUUUCUCUAAACUGUAAACUGCAGG